RNAcentral lists this transfer RNA (74 nucleotides) under Candidatus Yonathbacteria bacterium RIFOXYC1_FULL_52_10. Its description in RNAcentral is "tRNA-Gly". It matches the Rfam family "tRNA". Rfam says of the family: Transfer RNA (tRNA) molecules are approximately 80 nucleotides in length. Their secondary structure includes four short double-helical elements and three loops (D, anti-codon, and T loops). Lineage: Bacteria; Candidatus Yonathiibacteriota. RNAcentral also lists the same sequence under 1 other name. The record is from RNAcentral.
GCGGGAUUAGUUUAGUGGUAGGACGACUGCUUCCCAAGCAGUAAGCGCGAGUUCGAUUCUCGCAUCCCGCACCA